CAUUGGCUUGUCUGUACGAAGUGAGCUGGGAUUGAACUAGCUAUCAGUUUUUCAGCUCUUGUUUAGCUCCUGACUGCGACACUAGCUGAAUCUCUGCGGUGCUAAAACUAUACCUGCGCAGAAAACAUUUUCCACAUCCAACACUGGACUACCACCUCCCGACUGGAUUUAUUUACUCAUGGAUUUAUUCAUCAACUCCCUGUGGACUUCCAUCAUUGGACCUCUCCUGCUCUACCACACUUGAGGCCCCCUCUCCCCAACCCACUGCCUACUCACCGGCUAGCUCCACGGCUUCUCUCCCGAAGUUUUUACUUGUGACAAACACUACUCUCCCUUCACCCUGGAAUCUAUUAACAACAACAAUCGCCUCUCUUCGGAAGUAGCUAGUCGUGCCAGCUCACUGGGCAUUCUACGCCGACGCCCCUACAUCCAUCGAGGCUGCCGACGCAAAUGGUUGGGCAGUGCUAACACCAGCACCAACAGAAGAUCUGUCUGGUCUAACUCCCGUAUCAAGUUCUAUCCUUCCUCUCACUCCGUUGAUUUUAGCUGCCUCCGUGCCCUACCGCUUUCCCAAACCUUAGGUUUACCCUGUUACACUACCAAUCUUGCUCUUUUAAUCUUCCGUUCUGUGAACAAUAAAUCUCUCCUCCUUCAUGAACUCAUAUUGGACAAUAACCUGAACUUCCUCUUACUUACUGAAACAGCUGAUGAUUUUUUUCAAAGUCUACACACCCCUGUUAAAAUGCCAGGUUUUUGUGAUGUAAAAGAAUGAGACAAAGAUAAAUAAUGUCAGAACUUUUUUUCCACUUUUACUGUGCCUGAGCUCCGUGCUGAAGCAGGAGGACCCCCGGCUUGAACGUCGAUCCAGAACUGGCCUUACUGUUCAUGUUGAAGCCUAUAAGCUUCACCUCUCCUUGUACAGAGAUGCUCUUCAUGCUGCCAGAACCUCUUUCAUCUCCGACACCAUCAAAACCUCCAACACAAACUCCCAGACUUUGUUCUUCACUAUCAACAAACUCCUCCUACAACGCAGUGAGCCCUCCACAGCAUCAACUGUGCUCGCAAACUCUUUUCUUCCUCUGUCUCAUAUUGAAACUUGCCUGGCAACAAUAAAAACCUGGCUGCAGCAGAACUUCCUCAAGCUUAACGUCUACUACUUGGUACAAAAUCUACAUUAACCAAAGCCGGCACCUUCACCCUCACUAUUGAUGACUCUGUUUCCCCUAAUACAUGGAAUCUCUGUGUCAUACUGGACUCCUCACUCAGCUUCAAACAACACAUCAAAUCCUCAUUCUUCCACCUCCGCAAUAUUGCCAAAUUAUAGUCUGCCGCUGAAACCCUAAUACAUGCAUUCACUUCUGCCCGUCUUGACUAUUGCAAUUCUCUCCCUUCUGGGAUUAACUCUUCAUCUCUCCAUAAACUACAACUAGUACAAAAGUCGGGGUUUGGAAUGCACUUCCACAAUUCAUCUGUGACUCCAAAUCUGUUGCCAUUUUCAUCCACCACCUCAAGUCUUAUCUGUUCAAAAAAGCCUCUCCCUUUUUGUUUUUGUUUUGUUAGCUUCUGUUUGUGUCAUUGAUCUAUUUGUAGUUGUUUAUGUAUGUAUUGUAAAGCGCUA
Molecule: long non-coding RNA, 1618 nt
Organism: Esox lucius (northern pike)
Lineage: Eukaryota; Metazoa; Chordata; Actinopteri; Esociformes; Esocidae
Source: Ensembl